UUUUCAGUGAGUUUUCCAAAACCCAGUAUCUCCAUUUGCCCUGUUGGUGAGGUGACCUGGGGUCAGACUGUUGAAAUCACAUGUUCAGUCUCAACUCAGGUUUUAGGUGGAUCGUUCACUCUGAGUCAAAUUCAGGGUUCAUUCAUGAGGAGCCAAACCUCCACACAAACUCUGCUACCUUCAAUAUUCCUAACGUGGACUUGAUAACGAGGGAUUGUACCAGUGUCAGUAUAAGAAAAGAGGCUCACGUCGUGAAUUUAGCUCCCCAUUAAGUGACUCGGUCAGACUCUCUGUUACUGUGAGACUGCAGACACCCAGCAUCUCCCUGACCUCUCCUAGUGCAGGUCUGGUCUGGGGUCCUGAAGGUCAGAGAUCACCAGGGGUUACAGUUUGUCCUCACCUGCUCCGUUAACUCCAGAUUUUCCAGUGGACGUUUCUUCUCAUCUUCUCUGACUCCAACAUCACAGACAGCAAGCCAGCAGUCAACAACUCAGCCUCCUUUAGUUUCCCUGUAGCUGAGUAUGAACACCAAGGCAACUACAGCUGUGUGUAUGAAGUCACAGUGUCCACACGGACAUUCAAUUCUACUGCAACAGCACCCAUUACUGUCAUCAUUAAAUUUCCUUGGAUGCUGCUGGUCUCGUCUGUAGUUCCUGUGGUCCUGCUGCUCCUGCUGGUCUCGUUGGUGGUGUUACUGGUGCCCAGGAGAAGGAGACAAACACAGCAGGCCCACAUCCACACCACAGUGACUCUAAAAUCCUGCAAUGAAGAAGAUGACAUCAGUGACGAGGAGAGGAUCUAUUUGAAUGUUGAGACACUGAACACCUACAGGAAUUUUACCAAACAACUGGAAGGAGCGGAGAGAGAGGAAACAGAGGAGAAGAGAUAAAAUCCCAUCAAUAGAAGUGAUUUUAGUCUAAAUUGAGCUGUACAUAUAUAGUACGUACAUUUUUUUAAAGUAUAGAGUAAAAGAAUACAUAAAGCAAAGUUGUUUUUAUUGUGAAGCCUGAAAAAGAUUUGUCUUUUAGAUGAUUAGUAAAAUGAUAUAAUGCAAGUAAUUUGCAAUAAAAACAAAAAACAACUUGUUCUUGGAGUAUUUGGAAAUUAAUUACACAAUAUAACUGCUACUAUCUCCAAAACAGUGACCUACAGCACACACCUGUAUUUAUUAUUCAGGCCACUCACCUGUCUGACUGUUACAUACAUACAGUCUUGGUCUUCGACAUCAUCAUGUAGAAUAUAUCUUUAGCCUAAAACAGAUACACACAAGCCUGGAUGCAUUAUGGCACCUUUUAACCAAUAGCUUCCCCUUUCCUGGCGUCAAACCACCUCUUUUCUGUGAACCAUUUCUGAAAAACUCAAAUGA
RNAcentral lists this long non-coding RNA (1366 nucleotides) under Oreochromis niloticus (Nile tilapia). Its description in RNAcentral is "lncRNA (ENSONIG00000039309.1)". The record is from RNAcentral. Lineage: Eukaryota; Metazoa; Chordata; Actinopteri; Cichliformes; Cichlidae.